Molecule: RNA transcript, 5266 nt
Organism: Dromiciops gliroides (monito del monte)
Lineage: Eukaryota; Metazoa; Chordata; Mammalia; Microbiotheria; Microbiotheriidae
Gene: IRS2
Gene name: insulin receptor substrate 2
Exons: 4
Source: RefSeq, a predicted model, not a curated record
GAGGAUGGCCAGCCCGCCACUGAACGGGCUCCUGACCCCGGCGAAUUCCUCCAACGGAGGAGGAGGCGGCAGCGGCGGCGGCGGCACCAACCUCAAUAACAACAACAACAACAACAACCACAGCGUGCGGAAGUGCGGCUACCUGAGGAAGCAAAAACACGGACACAAACGUUUCUUCGUGCUCCGGGGCCCCGGGAGCGGCAGUGAAGAGCAGGGCGCUGGGGGGGCAGGGGGGCAGCCGCCCCUGCCCGCUAGGCUGGAGUACUACGAGAAUGAGAAAAAGUGGAAGAACAAGUCGGGGGCCCCGAAAAGGGUGAUCGCCCUAGACUCCUGCCUCAACAUUAACAAGCGGGCGGACGCCAAGCACAAGUAUCUGAUCGCCCUCUACACCAAGGACGAGUACUUCGCCGUGGCGGCCGAAAACGAGCAGGAGCAGGAGGGCUGGUACCGGGCGCUCACCGACCUGCUCAACGAGGGCAAAGCCGCCUACGACUCGAGCUCGCUCUAUCCGCACUGCCUCUCGGCCGGUGCCUCGUCAGCCGGCGCCUCGUCGUGCAGCGCCUCCCUGCCCGGCUCGGGCGGCAGCGGCUCCUUUGGGGCAGCGGCCGAGGACCUCCACUACGGGCUGAUCACCCCGGCCACCGCCGCGUACCGGGAGGUCUGGCAGGUGAACCUGAAGCCCAAGGGGCUGGGGCAGAGCAAGAACCUGACCGGGGUGUACCGGCUCUGCCUCUCGGCGCGCACCAUCGCUUUUGUGAAGCUCAACUGCGAGGCGCCGUCGGUCACCCUGCAGCUGAUGAACAUCCGACGCUGCGGCCACUCGGACAGCUUCUUCUUCAUCGAGGUAGGGCGCUCGGCGUCCACGGGCCCUGGCGAGCUCUGGAUGCAGGCGGAUGACUCCGUGGUGGCCCAGAACAUCCACGAAACCAUCCUGGAGGCGAUGAAAGCCCUGAAGGAGCUGUUCGAAUUCCGUCCUCGCAGCAAGAGCCAGUCUUCGGGCUCCUCUUCCACCCACCCCAUCAGCGUCCCGGGCACCCGGCGGCACCACCACCAUCACAUGGUCAACCUGCCCCCAAGCCAGACCGGCCUCCUUCGCCGAUCCCGGACAGACAGCCUGGCCGCCACACCUCCCGCGGCCGGUGCCCCCAUUGCGAGUCAGGCCCCAGGGGCUGGGAAAUGCAGCUCGUGUCGGGUCCGCACGGCCAGCGAGGGGGACGGCAGCAGCGGGAGCGGAGGAGGGGUGGGCUGCAGGCCAGUUUCAGUGGCCGGCAGCCCCAUGAGUCCCGGCCCGGUGAGGACUCCCCUGAGCAGGUCCCAUACGCUGAGCAGCAGCUGCAGCGCCUCCAUGCGACCUAAUAAGAUGAUGUUAGCCCCUGCAGGGGGCCCCCUGCAACACAGCCGAUCCAUGUCUAUGCCGGUGUCCCAUUCGCCUCCGUCUGCCACCAGUCCUGGCAGCCUCUCCUCCAGCAGCGGGCAUGGCUCAGCUUCUUACUCCUUGCCUCAAGGACAGCAUCCACAUCCACACCACCUUCAACACCACCAGGGCCAGCGGCCCUCUAGUGGCAGUGCGUCCGCUUCUGGCUCCCCCAGUGACCCAGGCUUUAUGUCCUUGGAUGAAUAUGGCUCGAGCCCUGGGGACCUGAGGGCCUUUUGCAGCAACCGAAGCAACACUCCUGAGUCCAUAGCCGAGACCCCACCAGCGAGAGAUGGCAGUGGGACUGAACUAUAUGGAUACAUGACCAUGGAGAGACCCCUGAGCCUAUGUGGCCGAAGCUACCGAAGGGUGUCCGGGGAGGGGGCCCCAGACUUGGACAAGGGUCACAGAAAGAGGACUUACUCUCUGACCACACCUGCUCGCCAACGUGCAGUGCCCCAAGUGUCCUCUGCCUCCCUUGAUGAAUAUACUUUGAUGCGGGCAAGCUUUGCGGGCAGCUCCAACCGCCUUUACCCAGCUUCAUCUCCCAAAGUGACCUACAACCCAUACCCGGAGGACUAUGGGGACAUUGAGAUAGGCUCCCAUCGGAGCUCCAGCAGUAACCUUGGAGCAGAUGAUGGCUACAUGCCCAUGACUCCUGGAGUGGCCCCACUGGCAGGGGGCAGCAUGGGAAGUUGCAAAAGUGAUGACUACAUGCCCAUGAGUCCCACCAGUGUCUCUGCUCCCAAACAAAUACUACAGCCGCGGAUGGCAGCAGCCACCCUUGCUGCAGGUGCAGCAUCCCAGGCUGCCUCAUCAGCAACAAGUGGUAGAGGCUCCCCACUGAAUGGUAGCAGCUACAAGACCAGUUCUCCGGCCGAAAGCUCUCCUGAGGACAGUGGGUACAUGCGGAUGUGGUGUGGUUCCAAGCUCUCAGUGGAGAGCUCUGAGGGCAAGCUACUUUCCAAUGGGGAUUACCUUAACAUGUCCCCUAGUGAUGCCGGAGCUUCUCUCACCCCACCCGACUUCUUCUAUGACUCAGUUCCAUUGCCUGGUGGUGGAGAGCCACCCAAGAGAGUCCCAGGCUGCUGUUACAGCUCACUGCCCCGUUCCUACAAAACUCCCUGUCCUCGAAAUGGGGAUAGUGACCAGUAUGUAUUCAUGAAUUCUCCCGUGGGAAGGAGGAUUGUGGAAGAGGAGCAAGAGCAGCCAAGGCUGCAGCCACUGCCCACCACAACUACCCCCUGCACCCAGCCCGCCAGGCCCUUAGUAUCUAAUGGGGGCAGCCACUCCCAACCUCACCACCUAGUGCCUUCCACAGUUAGGCAGAGUGGCAGCAGCAGUGGCAACAACAACCGGCCAGAGAGUUUCCUCAUCCAGCGUUGCAGAGCAGUCCGCCCAACUCGUUUGUCCCUGGAGGGGCUUAGAACCCUACCUAGCAUGCAUGAGUACCCACUGCCACCUGAGCCGAAAAGCCCAGGUGAGUACAUCAACAUUGACUUUAAUGAAUCUGGAGCCCACCUUUCACCACCUCCACCUCCCCUGCUGAGUUCAGCAGCCUCGUCAUCGUCACUACUCUCAGCGAGCAGUCCAGCCUCUUCAAUGGGUUCAGGUACCCCUGGCACCAGUGGUGACAGCCGGAGGCGCUCUCCCCUCUCUGACUAUAUGAACCUUGGCUUCGGCUCACCCAAGUCACCCAAAUCUGGCACUGAGGGUGGUGGCUCUGUGGGUUCCUUGGAUGCCUUGAUGUCCCCUGAGGCCUCCUCACCCUGCCCACCACUGCCAACACCACCUGCCUCCUCCUCUAUUUCUUCCUCCCAGCAGCAGCAACUACCACCUCCACCACCACCAGGAGAGCUCUACCGCCUUCCUCCAGCUUCUUCUACCUGCCACCCAGCCCCUGUUUCUGCCUCUUCCCCCUCUAGUCCCCCUGAGACAGGGGAUAGUGGUGACUACACCGAGAUGGCCUUCGGCAUAGCUGCCACUCCCCCACAGCCCAUCGCAGCACCUCCGAAGCCAGAAAGUGCCCGGGUGACCAGCCCUACAUCUGGUGUGAAGCGGCUGAGUUUGAUGGACCAGGUGUCUGGUGUAGAGGCCUUCCUGCUGGCCAGCCCACCCCCAGACCCACACCGGGGUGCCAAGGUCAUCCGUGCUGACCCACAGGGUGGCCGACGACGCCACAGCUCGGAAACCUUCUCCUCGACCACUACUGUGACCCCUGUGUCCCCAUCCUUCGCACACAAUACUAAGCGCCACAACUCGGCCUCUGUGGAAAACGUCUCUCUCAGGAAAAGUGGCGAGGGGCCCAGUGGCAGUGGUAGUGAGAAUCUUGGAGGAGGUGAAGAAGAGCCAUCCACAUCUCCUCACCUUCGGCAGCCAUCGUUCCCUCUGCCACCCCAGCCCCAGCAGCCAAGGUGGACACAAAACCAACCUGGGGCGUUAGUUGGUUGCCCUGGGAGCAAUGUCUCUCCUAUGUGUCGGGAGACAUCAGCAGGCUUCCAGAAUGGUCUCAACUACAUUGCCAUUGAUGUCAGAGAUGAAGCUGGCCUGUUGUUGCAGCAGCAGCAGCAAUCUGGAGACAAGAGCACCUGGACCCGGACCCGUGGCCUCAGUGGGCUCAUCAAUGGUGGAAGUGGCAGCAACACAGGUGGUUGUGUGGGCCCAGGUUCUGGACCCUUGCCCACAGCCAACACCUAUGCUAGCAUUGACUUCAUGUCCCAUCACCUGAAGGAGGCUACAGCUGUGAAAGAUGUGACCUAAGGUAAAUGCAGAAGUAUGUAGACUAGUACUGAAAAUACACCAGGAAGUACUGAAAAUACACCAGGAAGCUGUUCCAGUGACAUCUGUGAAAUAUUCAGGAAAUCCUCCUUUCCUUCAUGUGCAAAGGAGGCUAUGCUCCCACCACCAGUCCCUACUGCUUAUAGUGCUUCAGUCAUUGAAAAAUCACAGACAUUCAACCCAAUUCUUUCAACUACUCUGACAGUAGUUGCAGAAGGGAAAUCCGAUUUGACUGGGCAGCCCUGAAUCAUGAACCAUGGGGGAAUCAGAUACAGAGUGAAAAAUCUGGCUAGAUCACCAUGACCUCAUACACCGGAGUAUAACAUUAACAACAGAAGCUGCUCAGCAUUUGUCAUUUCUUAAUCUGAAGCUGCUUAUGGUUUACUUUUCUUUUUUGAUCUGGGCAGUUGCUUAACUUUUGAGAUGAUAAUGGACUACAUUAAGACAAGGAAUCAUCAAAGAAAGGAAAACGACCUGCCUCACUUGUUUCCUGUUUUUGGCAUCUAUCAUCAUGCUGCUGUUUGAGAAAGUUCAUUGAAGAAGCUAUUCUAUAGAAAUCUGGACCUUUUUUAGCUGGCCACCUGAAGUGGUGGCCAAUGCCUUCGUUUCCUUCUCCCUGUCCUCUUUUCUUUUCUCUCCUCCCCCCCCCCCUCCUUAUAAAGACAAACUAUUUAUCCCUUAGCAUGCUAGGAGAUUCUGUUAAUACCCACUAAAGCAGUUAAAUCUGGUAUUUACUGGUAUACUCUCAAAACUACCACAGUCCUACCUCAGUUCAAAGUAAAACCGGAUUUGUAUUGUUGGGGUAUGGCAGGACCUCCUUGAUAUCUCUAUGCUGAAUGUUUCUGAAGAAUGGUCAUCAGCCUUAUUGAACUUAUUCAAGUAUAUAGCAGCUUGCUGGAUCUCAGUUCACUAGCUGUAGGGUUUAUUUAGAGACAGAGAGCCCAGUGUGGAAGUGAACCGUCUCAAUAAAUGGAAAAAAAAAAUAUGUUGGACUUUGAAGAUGGAUGCAGAAUAGUUAUAAUGUGUAACUAAAGCAACCUAAUUUAAAAAUCAUAAAACUCUAUAGGGGUUGAA